AUAAGAUCAAGAAGCUCAUCUUCAUCAUCACCAUCAAGGGCGUCUUGCAAAGCAGUGGACAAGAGAUCGCGCUCAGACUGACUAAGAUACAACAUUAGUGAGUCAAACAAUAAAUCAGGUGAGACAGUGUGUUCACCAAAUGUGAUUGCUGCUGUAAAGGCUUGAGCCAGCCGAGAAGGAAAAUAUCCAUGGUCCUUUAAUCCCUUGACCAUUAUCCUACCAACAGAUUUCCAUUCUUCCUCUUGCCAUUUUGGGGAUAGUGAUGGCACCCUCACAUCUGCACCCUCUGCUGCACAGUCUAAAAACUCUGUCCAGAAGGCAGCAUAUACAUCCCUGGACACGCCAUCAGCAUCUGCCCCCAUUUCAUGAAUGAAGCUGUAUUUCACAGAGUAGGACAUCAUCGCUUCAUCCUUGAAUUGGCCUCGCUGCAUCUGUCUGUUCAUCAGUUCCUUCUGUCAUCUCUGGGAACACUUCAUCUCCAUUUGUCAGGUGCUCUGUGAACAAGUAAAAUCUUAAAAUCCCCAAUUUAUGUGUCUCAUAGAGCUCUCCCACACUAACAUCCUCAUCAAGGUAUGCUUCCUGAAAGUCAACAAUGUUGUG
Long non-coding RNA from Cyprinus carpio carpio, 600 nucleotides. The record is from Ensembl. NCBI's taxonomy places the organism in Eukaryota, Metazoa, Chordata, Actinopteri, Cypriniformes, Cyprinidae.